This 412-nucleotide long non-coding RNA is filed under the name Brassica napus (rape). Its description in RNAcentral is "long non-coding RNA (BNAP_LNC015991)". Lineage: Eukaryota; Viridiplantae; Streptophyta; Magnoliopsida; Brassicales; Brassicaceae. The record is from RNAcentral.
CACCACAAGACUCACCUUCAUUUGGGUGAGAAUUUGAGAUGAGUUUUUAAAAAUUUAGCUGGGUGAUCCAUCUGGAUAUAGCAUUAAAAUGCACAAAACGAACAUCGAUUUGCAUCUUCACCCAGAUGGAUCACUUGGUUGAGCAAACGAACAACACCCAACACUAUGUAAAAACAAUAAAAAUAUGAUCGAUCAUUAAUGCGAUCGAUCCAUAGGAAAAUGAAUGUCAUGUUGUAAACUUAAGGAUUUAAAACUGUAAGUUUCCGUAUAUUAUUAAUGAAUAAGUGUUCCCUUUAUAUAGGGGUUAUAAGAGAGAUAAAUGCAAAUACAAUAAUAGGAAAUAGGCAAGUUGUAGCCGCCUCUCUCUCUUCUCCAAGUCUCGCGGCCGCCUCUCUCUCUCUAGGGUUGUCCG